Long non-coding RNA from Salmo salar (Atlantic salmon), 682 nucleotides. RefSeq lists it as uncharacterized. NCBI's taxonomy places the organism in Eukaryota, Metazoa, Chordata, Actinopteri, Salmoniformes, Salmonidae. The record is from RefSeq and is a predicted model, not a curated record.
CUUGCCAUGACGAAUUUGACGCUAUGCGACCCACCGCUGGAGACUUCCUUCAACAAAGAUGGCUGACAAAAAUACUGCGAAGCAAAUGUUAGGGACUCCUGAGAAAAACACCAAACCAGGCUGUCGACUUGUGAAACAGUGGAUGUAAAGAAUCUAGCUAGCUAAAGCAUUUACAGCCAAUUGAAUGUACAAUUUUGUAUGCUUGCCUUGCUGAUAUUUGCCAUGAAAUGCAGCUGAAGUAACGUAACUUGGCUAGCUAACCAUUUUCUUGCUUAUUGUGUAGUGGAGGAUAAAAAUACCUGUAUGCCUAUGGAUGUGUAGCUAGCUAUGUAGCUGAUCUGUGUAUGGGACCCUGAAACGUUUGGUAUAAAUAUUAAUUCAGAACCUAGUUAUGAACCUCAGCUAUCAUAGCUGUUUGUAUCCACUUCAGAACAGCCAAAGGGCAUUAAUGAAGCCUAUGGAUGGAGUAGAAUAUAGUAUAACUUUGUGCCAAGGAUGGAAGUCAUAUAUACAUGUAGUUAUUACCAAACAUGAGAUCCCCACAUUGUAGCCUGUACAUUUAAUAUAUUCACUGAUCAUGUACUCUACCUUGGCAAAUACAUUUGUGGUUCAGGUAUGAGUGUCUGUGACAUUCUUUUUCAGUCAUAUCCAGUUCCAAGAGUAAACUCCAGUCUUUGAAUGA